RNAcentral lists this long non-coding RNA (738 nucleotides) under Homo sapiens (human). RNAcentral's name for it is "testis expressed transcript, Y-linked 14, transcript variant 4 (TTTY14)". Lineage: Eukaryota; Metazoa; Chordata; Mammalia; Primates; Hominidae. The record is from RNAcentral.
GAGUUGGGAGGAAAGCGGCGGCGGUGGCGGCUUCAACAGCAGCUCUUGCCCUUAAGGAACAAUGAAACACAAAGAUGGUGCAGACCCAGGCCCUGCUUUGACUGGGAGAAAGAUGCAUUCAGUUGACUAAAACUUGAAAGAUGUUUGAAAUACAACAAAAUAGUUGGAAGAAUCUCCCAACACAGUUGGAAGACUAUCUACUGGGGAGAAGUGUUCAGUAUCAUAAAGAUAACAUCUCAUCCAGAGGAAAGUGCCACAGCAUGUUCCGAAGAGAUGAUUGGAAGAUGGAAGUGGAGGGUUAAAUAAUGAAAUGCAGCUAACAUUUCGGAAAGUUUCUAAAAGUUGUACAACAUGCCCUACAGCUACUCUUUAAAUCUCCAAAUCAAAUGAGUUUCAGGUGGAGCCUCUGGGAGGUGAUGAGGUCAUGAGAGUGGAGCCUCAUGAAUGGGAUGAGCACUCCUACAAAAAGGAUUCCAGAGAGCUCGCUUGCUCCUUCCACAGUGUGAGGACACAGAGGGAAGGCUCUGUCUAUGAAUGAGAAAGUGGGUCCCCACCAGACAUUGAAUCUGCCGCAUCUUGAUACUGGACUUCCAGUCUCCAGAACUGUGGGCAAUAAAUGUCUGUUGUUUAUUACCUGUCCAGUAUCUUUGGUAUUUUGCUAUAGCAACCCAAAUGGACUAAGAAAACACCAGAGGCCAUACCUAAUAAAAAUAUUGACAUCACAAAAAAAAAAAAAAA